This 486-nucleotide ribosomal RNA is filed under the name uncultured bacterium. Its description in RNAcentral is "partial 16S ribosomal RNA". It matches the Rfam family "Bacterial small subunit ribosomal RNA", at positions 28 to 523 of the family's 1533-position model. The record is from RNAcentral.
GACGAACGCUGGCGGCGUGCUUAACACAUGCAAGUCGAACGGAAAGGCCCCAGCUUGCUGGGGUACUCGAGUGGCGAACGGGUGAGUAACACGUGGGUGAUCUGCCCUGCACUUUGGGAUAAGCUUGGGAAACUGGGUCUAAUACCGAAUAUGACCACUUCUUGGAUGUUGUGGUGGAAAGCUUUUGCGGUGUGGGAUGAGCCUGCGGCCUAUCAGCUUGUUGGUGGGGUAAUGGCCUACCAAGGCGGCGACGGGUAUCCGGCCUGAGAGGGUGUACGGACACAUUGGGACUGAGAUACGGCCCAGACUCAUACGGGAGGCAGCAGUGGGGAAUAUUGCACAAGGGGCGCAAGCCUGAUGCAGCGACGCCGCGUGGGGGAUGAAGGCCUUCGGGUUGUAAACUCCUUUCGCUAUCGACGAAGCCACUUGUGGUGACGGUAGGUAGAUAAGAAGCACCGGCUAACUACGUGCCAGCAGCCGCCGUAA